UGACGGCCAUAAAAACGCCAGCUUGCCGACGGAGGAGCAGCAGUCGGCUCCGCAACCAUGAGCCCAAGCGUCACCUCCCUCCUGCUCCUGGCCGCCCUGCCAGGCCUGAUGGUGGACGCGACAUUGACCGAAUCCGGAGGCGGCCUCUACGCGCCCGGAGGGACGCUGACCCUCAACUGCCAGGCCUCCGGAUUCACCUUCAGCAGUUAUGGCAUGAAUUGGGUGCGACAGGCGCCCGGCGAGGGGCCGGAAUGGCUCGCAGGUAUUAGCAGCACUGGUGGUAGCACAGGAUACGGGUCGGCGGUGAAGGGCCGUGCCACCAUCUCGAGGAACAACGAUCAGAGCACGGUGAGCCUGCAGCUGAACACCCUGACGACCGACGACACCGCCACCUAUUACUGCGCGAAAGCUGCUGGUCACGGUGACUCCCAACCACGGCGCCGCUGGCACAAAACCCAACGGUUCAACACGGGGUGGUGAAACGCGACCGAGAGG
Lagopus muta (rock ptarmigan) is the source of this 495-nucleotide non-coding RNA. NCBI's taxonomy places the organism in Eukaryota, Metazoa, Chordata, Aves, Galliformes, Phasianidae. The record is from the annotation of a RefSeq genome assembly.